UACGUAGGGUGCAAGCGUUGUUCGGAAUUACUGGGCGUAAAGAGUGUGUAGGCGGCUCUCUAAGUUCGGUGUGAAAUCUCUCGGCUUAACUGGGAGGGUGCGCCGGAAACUGGAGUGCUCGAACGUGGGAGAGGAAAGCGGAAUUCCUGGUGUAGCGGUGAAAUGCGUAGAUAUCAGGAGGAACACCUGCGGUGUAGACGGCUUUCUGGACCAUUGUUGACGCUGAGACACGAAAGCGUGGGUAGCAAACAGG
This 253-nucleotide ribosomal RNA is filed under the name uncultured bacterium. RNAcentral's name for it is "partial 16S ribosomal RNA". It matches the Rfam family "Bacterial small subunit ribosomal RNA", at positions 524 to 776 of the family's 1533-position model. The record is from RNAcentral.